AAAAAAAAAAAAAAAAAAAACACUGGUGAAAGAAUGUCAGACGGAACAAGUAUGGUGAUGGAGUCUUCUGAAAAUGGGACAGAUAUUUCCCAAGACGAUACUGGCAACAUGGAAGAAAUACCUGAAGAUACAAUAUUGUUGCGACAAACUUCUGUGAACCUUGUUCCAUUUAUUGGCCAAAGAUUUGUAUCUCAAGAUGCUGCUUAUGAAUUUUAUUGCAGUUUUGCGAAGCAAUGUGGCUUUUCAAUUAGACGUCAUCGUACUCGUGGAAAGGACGGUGUUGGUAGAGGAGUUACAAGAAGAGAUUUCACUUGCCAUCGUGGUGGUUAUCCACAGAUGAAACCAUCUGAAGAUGGUAAGAUGCAAAGGAAUCGCAAGUCAUCGCGUUGUGGCUGUCAGGCAUAUAUGCGCAUUGUGAAGCGGGCAGAUUUUGAUGUCCCUGAAUGGCGUGUUACAGGCUUUAGCAACAUCCACAACCAUGAAUUGUUAAAAUCAACUGAAGUGCAUCUCCUUCCUGCCCAUUGCACCAUAUCUCCAGAUGACAAGAGUCGGAUUUGCAUGUUUGCAAAAGCUGGAAUGUCAGUGAGACAGAUGUUACGAUUGAUGGAGCUAGAGAAAGGUGUGAAGCUAGGUUGUUUACCAUUUACUGAAAUAGAUGUGAGAAACUUACUACAAUCUAUCAGAAAUGUCAAUCGAGAUAAUGAUGCCAUUGAUCUUAUUGCAAUGUGCAAGAAAAUGAAGGAUGAAGAUCAUAACUUCAAAUAUGACUUCAAAAUAGAUGGCAAUAAUAGGUUGGAGCAUAUUUCAUGGUCUUAUGCUUCAUCUGUCCAAUUAUAUGAAGCCUUUGGUGAUGCAGUUGUUUUUGACACAACCAACCGUUUGGAUGCCUAUGAUAUGAUAUUAGGCAUGUGGCUUGGGGUGGACAAUCAUGCGAUGACUUGCUUCUUCGGUUGUGUACUGCUACGUGAUGAAAAUAUGGAGUCUUUUUCCUGGGCACUGAAGGCAUUUGUGGACUUCAUGAAUGGAAAGGCUCCUCAAACUAUUAUGACUGAUCAAAAUAUAUGGCUGAAGGAGGCUAUUGCAAUUGAAAUGCCAGAAACUAAACAGGCCUUUUGUAUUUGGCACAUCAUUGCUAAAUUCUCAGAUUGGUUUUCCAUGCUGCUUGGGUCAUGUUAUGAUGACUGGAAAGCUGAGUUUCUCCGACUCUAUAAUCUUGAGUUUGUGGAAGAUUUUGAGGAAGGAUGGAAAGAAAUGGUCAUCAAAUAUGGGCUUCAUGCUAAUAAGCACAUUGCUAGUUUGUAUGCACUGCGGACAUACUGGGCUUUGUCGUAUUUGAGGCAUUACUUUUUUGCAGGAAUGAUGAACACUUGUCAGUCUGAAUCUAUUAAUGCUUUCAUUCAACGGUUUUUGAGUGCACAAUCACAAUUAGAUUGUUUUGUUAAGCGAGUGGCUGAAAUUAUUGAUUUAAGUAAUUGUACUGGAGUCAGGGCAGAGACUCAACGAAAAACACAAAAAGUUUACCUCAAAACAGGUUCACCGAUCGAAUCACAAGCAGCCUCUGUUCUUACUCCAUAUGCCUUUAAUAAGCUCCAAGAGGAGCUUGUGCUAGCACCACAGUAUGCGUCUUUUCCGAUAGAUGAAUAUUGUUACCAAGUCAGACACCAUACUCAGGUAUCUGGGGGGUGCAAAGUCGUUUGGGAUCCUUGUCAAGAGCAUAUCAGUUGUAGCUGCAAUCAGUUUGAAUUUCUAGGCAUCCUUUGUAGGCAUGUUCUCCGUGUCCUAUCAACCAAUAACUGUUUUCACAUUCCAGACCAAUUUUUGCCUACCCGAUGGUGUGAUGUUAGUUUGUCAUCCAAUACAAGAGUGCAUUCUGAAAGGAUUCAGUUACUAGAAUCCAUGGUGUCAACAUUUGUGACAGAAUCAAUUGAAACAGAGGAACGCCUUGAUGUUGCAUGUGAGCAAAUUGCUAUGGUAUUAUCUCAUAUUAAGGAUCUUCCUAGGCAAACACAUUGUGAGAAUGCCUACAAUUGCCCAUCUGAGUCAUUGAUUCUACCAAAUGAAGGUGCUGAUGGAAUAGUUCAGACUGUAGCAAUUGGAAAUCCUCAUGAUACUAUUAGUCUAGGAAAACUAAAAGAGAGAAGGCCCAGAGAUGGAAAUGAUAUAUCCAGAAAGCGAAGGCAUUAUUCUGGUCCUUGCUGUGGGCAGUUUGGACAU
RNAcentral lists this unclassified non-coding RNA (2214 nucleotides) under Hevea brasiliensis (rubber tree). The record is from RNAcentral. Lineage: Eukaryota; Viridiplantae; Streptophyta; Magnoliopsida; Malpighiales; Euphorbiaceae.